RNAcentral lists this ribosomal RNA (305 nucleotides) under uncultured bacterium. RNAcentral's name for it is "bacterial SSU rRNA". It matches the Rfam family "Bacterial small subunit ribosomal RNA", at positions 336 to 656 of the family's 1533-position model. The record is from RNAcentral.
UUCCUACGGGAGGCAGCAGUGGGGAAUAUUGGGCAAUGGGCGCAAGCCUUACCCAGCAAUACCGCGUGAGUGAAGAAGGUCUUCGGAUUGUAAAGCUCUUUGAUCAGGGACGAACAGAUGACGGUACCUGAAGAACAAGCCCCGGCUAACUACGUGCCAGCAGCCGCGGUAAUACGUAGGGGGCAAGCGUUAUCCGGAUUUACUGGGUGUAAAGGGGGCGCAGACGGCGAUGCAAGCCAGGAGUGAAAGCCCGGGGCCCAACCCCGGGACUGCUCUUGGAACUGCGUGGCUGGAGUGCAGGAGGG